GACGAACGCUGGCGGCGUGCUUAACACAUGCAAGUCGAACGGAAAGGCCCUGCUCUUGUGGGGUGCUCGAGUGGCGAACGGGUGAGUAACACGCGUGUAACCUGCACUUGACUUUGGGAUAAAUUCAGGAAACUGGGGCUCAUACCGGAUAGGAGCUCCUGCUGCAUAGUGGGGGAUGGAAAGAUUCGGCGGUUGGGGAUGGACUCGCGGCUUAUCCGCUUGUUGGUGGGGUAGUGGCUUACCAAGCCUAUGACGGGUAGCCGGCCUGAGAGGGUGAACGGCGACAUGGGGACUGAGAGAGGGCCCAGAAUCCUACGGGAGGCAGCAGGGGGGAAUAUUGCACAAUGGGCGGGAGCCUGAGGCAGCAACGCCGCGUGCGGGAUGACGGCCUUCGGGUUGUAAACCGCUUUCGCCUGUGACGAAGCGUGAGUGACGGUAAUGGGUAAAGAAGCACCGGCUAACUACGUG
This 468-nucleotide ribosomal RNA is filed under the name uncultured bacterium. Its description in RNAcentral is "partial 16S ribosomal RNA". It matches the Rfam family "Bacterial small subunit ribosomal RNA", at positions 28 to 507 of the family's 1533-position model. The record is from RNAcentral.